CCAUGUGGUUCUCUGAAUGAACUAUAACAUCAAGAGAGUUUCAGUCAAAAGUUGUUUUCCAUUUGGUUAGCACAGAGAAAGAAAAAAAACUUUGAAUGUGUCAUUAAGUUUUUGUUUAUGAAGGUAGUUUUAAAGCAGAUUAUUUGUUUGUUCUCUAUACAACUUCCAAAGUCAGAUAUAAUUUCUUCCUCUUAUAUGCCCGAGGAAGGAUGUUAGGAAUGAGGAGAGUUUCCAAGGCUCAGAUUCCAGGAUGACAUUGCUGGCGUGCUCCACACAGGACAAGACUAAUUCCAUGAUAUUUGCCUCUCUUGAAUAAAUGGUGACUCAUCUCUGAACCUCAAAUUUCAGUCUCAGCUACCUAGGAAUCAGCAACAAUCAGAGAAAAGGGAUGUAGGGCAGUUACAGUAAAAACAAACAUAAGAACAGAAAAUCAAAGGGCAGCAAAAAAACAACACUGCCAAAUAAAACCUCCCCUCCCCUGCCCUUCCUUCCUUUUCUUUCCCUUUCUCCUUCUUAGGGGAAAGAAGCAGUGGGGAAAAGAAAAAAGAAAAAGAAAGAAAGAAAGAAAGAAAGAAAGAAAGAAAGAAAGAAAGAAAGAAAGGAAGAAGAAAGAAAGAAAGGAAGAAAGGAAGAAAGGAAGAAAGGAAGAAAGGAAGAAAGGAAGAAAGGAAGAAAGAAAGAAAGAAAGAAUUAAAAAAAAGAAAGAAAAUAAAAAAAAAACACUUUCUUUCCAGAAGUCUUUAAACCAUUGCAGCUGCCUUCUGCAGUGGAGUGGGAGAUUGCUGUGCAAGAGAGGACUCCAAAAACCAAGGAUAAAACAGUUCUCAAGAGAACAGAUCAUCUGACAAAGAGGAGCCUACUAACAAGGCCUUCUUGCUUCAGCAUCAAGAGGCAUCGUGCUCACAGACUUUCAUCUUGAUGGGAGAUUUCAACCGCAUGGAUGUAAGCUGGGAAAACAACAUGGAAGGUUGAAAAUAUUCCAAGAGACUGCUGAAGAUAACUACCUGGUCCAGGUAUACCGGUCCGAAGAGACAAGCAAACUGGCUUCAACAGACACGGAGAAGGAUGACGUACUGAAGAAGUUCUUUUCCUUGAUCUUCUCUGCUAGUUAGGCUUAUCAUGUCUCUUAUGUCCCUGAAACUCAAGGCACCUGUCCGGAAAGAGAAUAACAACAUAUCCCAGAAGACUGCGUUCAGAGAGGAGAUAUAACCCCUGGCAGGGUCACCUGACUUCUCUUUUUUCCUUCAGCUCUCCUCCCUGCUGCUCGACCUGACUGCACAUCUCGCCUCAGCGUUGUGAAGGUGUGGAUCUGUGGAUCCACAUUAGGAAGAAGUGAUGCCUGCAGAGAGACAUGGAUGGACUAGAGAAGUGGGCUGACAUGACCCCAGUGCGAUUUGGCAAGGCUAUGUGCAAGGUGUUACUUGUGUCACAUAUAUUCCUAUUAUGCAUGGGAGAAGAACUCAUUGAGAGCAGACCUGCUGAGAAGAACUUUGGAGUCCUGGUGGACAAAUAAUCCAGGCAUGAGCCGUUAGUGUGCACUUGCAUCUCAGAAGACAAACUGAAUCCUAAGCUGUAUCAAAUCAGGUGUGGUUAACAGUGCCAGGGAGGUGAUUGUCCUCUCUACUCUGCUCUUGUGAGCAUCUGGAGUACUGUAUCCAUGUCUGGGGCCCUAUCAGUGCAAUCACUGUGUGCAUUAUUUAUAAGUCUGACAUUGGUCUAAGCUGUGUAAAUGAGCACUGGUUAAUGCAGAGGAAAUGUAAAAAGUAUUCAAACUUUUAAACAUAGGGAAAUCAUAUUCAUUUAACAGGGAACAGCAAAGCUGGCUGUUUUAUUUUUCCUUUGUGUAUAAGAAACAUACACCAUUUUGCUUGACAUUCAGUAUGAAUAUGCAAAGGCUUUUGAUACAUCUGUUGUUAAUAUGCAAGAUAAUGAAUGUGCUUAAAAUUCUGCUCUUCUUGUCUGCUGAUUAAAUGAAAUAAGCAGAACAGUCCACCAUAUCUAUAUGCUUUAGAGGACCAAUGUUUGCAACAAAGUAGUAACUGUUCACAUUACGUUCUGUUUUAUUACUAUUUUCUGAUGGAAAACUGUUUUUUCAUGAAGCUCCAAAUUUUUCAAUGAAAAUAUCCACCACAAAAAGAAAAACAAAAACACUUAAUCUGUUAACCCUUCUUACUGCAUUUCAAAUGAAUAAUAUUACUGAAGACUGAAGGAGAUGUCUAAUAUUUUACAUUGCUUUCUGGAAAUAGUGGUGGUUCCUGUUUCCACAUGUUCUCCAGUUAUUGUGGAGAGGGAAUUCAUGCUUGGGUAAACACCAUGGCCAAGACACUACUGUUCCUCUCCUCACUUCUCUAAAAGGGUAAAAUAAUUAAACUUAUUAUUUCAUAAGGCAGUUUGGCAUAUAAUUUUGAUAUAAUCAUAUGGAACUCAAAUGACGUAAAGUUACACACAGUACAAAAAAUAUUGAGAUAGAAGCAUUUUCAAAAAUCUGACCAAUUCCAUUGUUUGUCUAAAAUUAAAUCUUAAAUCUUUAUGAAGAUGAAUCUAUAUUACAAUGAGUUACUGCAUUUUUUUUUCAUUAAAAUAUUGAGGGAUUCUAAUCCAUUAAUCCCGAUGUUAAUUAAAAAAAAUCGUUGUCAAAAUGAUAGACUGUUAUUAUUAUUAUCUUUUUUUUAUAUUCUUUUUCUUUUCAAUUAUAUCUACUCCUUAGAGAAGACACAACCCAGGUGAAUUAAUUUUUUCUCUCAAGAAAAUAGCGAGGACUGAGUUUGCCGAAGAGCUUCUAUAAAAGUGGAAAAAGACAAGCUCUCAUCUAAUAAUGUUCCUAUUAAUACACUUUUCUGUGUGUGCUUUUGCUUUGAACAUAUAACAGUAAUGAAAAAAUACAGUGGUAGACACUUGAUAUUUGUCUAUUUAUAUUUAUUUAUUAAUAUAUUAAUAUAUUAAACAAUAUUUAUAUUGUUUAAAAGGCAGCUAAUUUUGGAAUAAAUAAAUAAAUAAAUAAAUAAAUAAAUAAUCCCACAACACUCCAGAGUUCAGUAAAGAUGAAAGAUACCCCAUGAGAUUUAAGACACAAUUUGGUUGUGCAUUUUCAACCCAUAUGAGUAAGUAGGAAGGGAUGGCAAUGACAAACUUGCCACUAACACCACAUAAUGGUGCAAUGGGUCACUCUAGUCUGGUGAUGUAUGCUGUUGUACGAAAAAAAGAUUUUUCUAUAUCCACAUGAGUUAUUUAAAUUGCUCUUCCAUGUCAGAACACUGAGCCUACCACAGCGGUGGCCAGCAUAAUAUGGGAUAGGAUAUGAGGUCCCCAAGUUGUGGUGCUCCAGAGCCAUGGGGUGGAUUUUCUGCUAAUAUUAAGAAAGUGACACCCUAGCUACUUGAUCUGCUGUCUAAAUCAGUUCUCCAUCUACAAUAUUAACAGUACCAUACAUUGUAUGGUUAGAUUAAAUAAAGACUGAAAGCUCUUAAAUACAGAGUAUCAGAAUGCAUUAAAAUAGUUAUGCAUCAAAAUUAAAACAAGACAGUUUUAAAAUAUCUAUUGUGGACCGAAGAUCAGCUACAAAAGAAUGUGGUUCUGGAAGAAUGUUCUUUAUUUCUGGCAGCCCUAUGAAACUAGCAGUAGGACUGCUGGCACUGUCUUCUAGGUCUUGGGGGAUGCUUUUAAUCCAACAAGGCACUGCUAUUAUUAGGAAGGCUGCAGUGUAACUACACCAUCAUUGCAUUCUGUCAGUUUAGUUUUGCAUGAACCAUUUGGUUCAUGACGCUCUAAAUUUAAUACUGUGCUACAGAUAAACUAGAAACAGAAUAAAUAUUGUAAGAACAAAGCUGUCACAGAAACACACUCUGAGUGUUUCGACCCCAUUCAAAGGCCCUUCACUAUAAUUGUCUCUGACAGAAGGCCCCUGUACAGUGAGUACUUUAGUUGCCAAUGACCUUAAACACGAUUAUCAUUAGCCUUCUUGUAAUACUCUCUCUUCCUUGAACUCAAAUUACUGUGCUUCUCAGAUGGAUUUAUAAAGGCAGUUCAAUACUGUAGUUAGAAUAAUCCGAGCUGUUUGAAUCAAUGCUGUGUCCUUUGUAAAUAAAGCUGUUCUGAAAUGCAUGCUGUAAUAAUUAUAUCCAUAAUUUGUUACAGUUAUUGUAAUAAAUUUGACUAUAAUAAUUUGAAUUAUUGUUGCAAAGAAGCCACAAGGAUUACUUGAUUACUUAAUCAAGUAAUAAUUUAUGCUGAUAAAUAUAUCAGGGCCAUUCCUAAAGUUAGGGUUUGUUUAAGCCAAACAUUUAAAUAAUUAAACAGUUGUUCAGAGACAAUAAAGCUACUUUGACUUGAAAACAAAACUCACUUACCAUUUGUAAACGUGUAUAAACUUAAAAAAAAAAAAAAAGAGCAAAAGAAAAAUAUGUUUGUUUUUUUUUCCUUCACUCAUUGUUCCCAAACCUGACAGCCUGCCAAAGGCAGAGAAAAAAGCCCUUGACCAGACACCCUGAAAAGGUUCAGACAUUCUUUACUACAGAUCCCAUUAUUGAUGAUUUUAAUGGAGAUUGGAUGUGGUUUUGUUUUGUAUUGCUUCGUUUUCAUACCUAAAAUUUAACUUCUAAUUCAGAUAGAAGCCAGGGAAAGUCAGUAGUCCUUGUUAAUUACAGUUGUGACGGUAACCUGUAAUACUUAAUUUUUAGUUUUUCUUGUAACCAUUAUUCGUUUGCCUGUAUCAGAAAACAGGUGGGGCACCCAAUGUUUGAAAAAAUAAUAGCUGGUGAUGUAAUUUCAAUUUAGGCAUCUGAAAACCGAAUUUUCAAACUGCAUUUUAUUUUCUCUCUAUAUUAACUUACUGAUAAUUUAAUGGAAUGUAUGUUGGAUUUUUUUCUUUUUUUUUUUUUUUUUUAUUUAGCCAGAUACUAUUCUCAGCACUACAAAAUCACAAAGAUCAAAAUCUGUAUCAGCAGCAUGCAUACUCUGUGGGUUCACCAAGGCAUCACAACAUCAUUUAUUGUCUUAUUUUUCUCCUUUACCUUUUAUUUUCCUUCCUAAAUUUCAAAACAAAUAUAGAUAAAGUAAUUCCAG
Molecule: long non-coding RNA, 5061 nt
Organism: Gallus gallus (chicken)
Lineage: Eukaryota; Metazoa; Chordata; Aves; Galliformes; Phasianidae
Source: Ensembl